GAUGAACGCUGGCGGCGUGCCUAAUACAUGCAAGUCGAGCGAACGGACGAGAAGCUUGCUUCUCUGAUGUUAGCGGCGGACGGGUGAGUAACACGUGGAUAACCUACCUAUAAGACUGGGAUAACUUCGGGAAACCGGAGCUAAUACCGGAUAAUAUUUUGAACCGCAUGGUUCAAAAGUGAAAGACGUUCUUGCUGUCUCUUAUAGAUGGAUCCGCGCUGCAUUAGCUAGUUGGUAAGGUAACGGCUUACCAAGGCAACGAUGCAUAGCCGACCUGAGAGGGUGAUCGGCCACACUGGAGCUGAGACACGGUCCAGACUCCUACGGGAGGCAGCAGUAGGGAAUCUUCCGCAAUGGGCGAAAGCCUGACGGAGCAACGCCGCGUGAGUGAUGAAGGUCUUCGGAUCGUAAAACUCUGUUAUUAGGGAAGAACAUAUGUGUAAGUAACUGUGCACAUCUUGACGGUACCUAAUCAGAAAGCCACGGCUAACUACGUG
Molecule: ribosomal RNA, 497 nt
Filed under: uncultured bacterium
Lineage: Bacteria
Description: partial 16S ribosomal RNA
Rfam family: Bacterial small subunit ribosomal RNA
Source: RNAcentral